GAAUUUGCUGAAAAAUAAGAUUGUUUAUAAAAUGGUUUUUUGUGAAACUUUUGUCGUGAAACAUAGUGAAGUUACAUACAGACAGAGGCCACUGCAAAACAAAAUCUGGAAACUCAAUUCUCAUUUAUUUAUUUUUCGUUUCAUAAUAAUCAUUUUUCUGAAAAAUUCUAAAACAGAAAAAAUAAAUUUCAUCUCUCUCUCUCUUCGUUUACCGUUGAUUAUUAAAAUCUGAGCCGUUGAUCUUUUUACCU
Molecule: long non-coding RNA, 251 nt
Filed under: Trifolium pratense (red clover)
Lineage: Eukaryota; Viridiplantae; Streptophyta; Magnoliopsida; Fabales; Fabaceae
Description: long non-coding RNA (TPRA_LNC010446)
Source: RNAcentral